RNAcentral lists this unclassified non-coding RNA (166 nucleotides) under uncultured fungus. RNAcentral describes it as "sequence contains ITS1". The record is from RNAcentral. Lineage: Eukaryota; Fungi.
UUAACUUAUUGAAUAAGUAAUCAGAGAUGCUAAAAUGCAAAGAGUUUGUAUUCCUCCGGCGGUCCGCCCUGAGGGCAAGCCGCCGAGGCAACUGGUAGGUUCGUUCACAAAGGGUUGGGAGUUUUGCAACUCUGUAAUGAUCCCUCCGCUGGUUCACCAACGGAGA